UGUUUAAAAUUUCAUCCAUUCCUACUAUUAAAAAUUAACGUAGUUGGCGAAAUAACCAUACAGUUAAUGUGGCAUGACAUUUGUACCUCAUGUUGGUGUAUAGACAUCAAUUUUUAACAGUAAAAAUGGAUGAAAUUUUUAAUA
Non-coding RNA from Gossypium hirsutum (cotton), 144 nucleotides. Lineage: Eukaryota; Viridiplantae; Streptophyta; Magnoliopsida; Malvales; Malvaceae. The record is from Rfam.